Molecule: long non-coding RNA, 800 nt
Organism: Carlito syrichta (Philippine tarsier)
Lineage: Eukaryota; Metazoa; Chordata; Mammalia; Primates; Tarsiidae
Exons: 3
Source: RefSeq, a predicted model, not a curated record
AGUCUGACUGCCCAUACUCAGAAAAAGUUCCAAGUAUUAAAAUUCCCAUGGACAUCAUGGAACAACAGCCUUUCCUAAGCGAUAGCAAACCUUCCGACAGAGAAAGAUCGUCAACAUUCCUUGAGCGCCACACAUCAUGCUGAUAAAAUUCCUUUCCUUCAAUCACUCGGUAUGCCAAGUCCUCCUAGAACUCCAGUAAAAGUUGUGCCUCAAAUUAGAAUAGAACUUGAGCCUGAAGACAAUGAUGACUUCUGGAGGAGCAAGGGAACAGACACUACAUUGUAACUUGUUUGUCUUUCUUAAAACUGACAGUCUUGUUGUUAAUGUUUUGGGGGGUUUUGUCUGGCUGUUUAUUUUUUAACUUUUAUUUUGUCUCAGUUUUUGGUCACUGGCCAAAGUGCUCUCUCUGCUUCUCCCCUGCAUAGGUAAAAUCAAGACAAUAGUGCAUCGUUCCUUAAAAACAGCAUCUGAGGAAUCCCCCUUUUGUCCUUAAACUUUCAGAUGUCUCCUCUGACAACAGAAUUUCUCUAUCACUCAAGACACACACAGACCAUGCUAUUUUCCUCUAUUAAGCAGAGGACAAAAGUAUUAAGGAUUUUAUAACACCUUUUAUUAAAAUAUUGAAGGAACUUGCAACCUUAGCUUUGGAGCUGUGCUUACUGGCUUGUCUUUGUCUGGUAAAACAAACCUUGACCUCCAGGCAGAGUCCCUUCUCACUAAUAGAGCUCUCUGGGACUGGAAAAAGUGCUGCUAUUCUAACUUGCUUUUGCUUGUAAACCCUAAUCUUAGAGUUAUCAAAA